AGCAAAUAGAUACCCGGGUAGUCCACGCCAUAAACGAUGAGGACUAGACGUUGGAGGGGUAAGCCUUUCAGUGUCGUAGCUAAACGCGCUAAGUCCUCCGCCUGGGGAGUACGGCCGCAAGGUUGAAACUCGAAGGAAUUGACGGGGACCCGCACAAGCGGUGGAGCAUGUGGUUUAAUUCGAUGCAACGCGAAGAACCUUACCUGGUCUUGACAUCCAUGGAACCCUGCAGAGAUGCGGGGGUGCCGUAAGGAACCAUGAGACAGGUGCUGCAUGGCUGUCGUCAGCUCGUGUCGUGAGAUGUUGGGUUAAGUCCCGCAACGAGCGCAACCCUUGUCCUUAGUUGCCAUCAUUUAGUUGGGAACUCUAAGGAGACCGCCGGUGACAAACCGGAGGAAGGUGGGGAUGACGUCAAGUCAUCAUGGCCUUUAUGACCAGGGCUACACACGUGCUACAAUGGUAGAUACAGAGGGAAGCCAACGCGCGAGCGGGAGCUAAUCCCAGAAAA
RNAcentral lists this ribosomal RNA (508 nucleotides) under uncultured bacterium. RNAcentral's name for it is "bacterial SSU rRNA". It matches the Rfam family "Bacterial small subunit ribosomal RNA", at positions 767 to 1281 of the family's 1533-position model. The record is from RNAcentral.